GGAAGUAAAAGUCGUAACAAGGUAGCCGUAGGUGAACCUGCGGUUGGAUCAUUCACUAUUCCAAAUGUUGGUGGAGAGAGUGUGGGAGUCACAUCCCCUCUCGCUUCAUCUCAACCCUCUGUGAAAUUACGAUUGUUUGUUUGAGUGUAUGCCUUUGCAAAAGGGCAUAUGCUAGACAUUAUAAACUGUUUUAUUUUCAUUGUUUGAAACUGAACGAAUUCAAUUGUGACAAAUUGAAACAACUUUUGACAAUGGAUCUCUUGGUUCUCACAACGAUGAAGAACGCAGCGAAUUGCGAUAAGUAAUGUGAAUUGCGGAAGUAUGUGAAUCAUCAAAUCUUUGAACGCACAUUGCACUUUUCGGUAUCCCGGGAAGUAUUUCUGUUUGAGAAUCAUUUUAACCCUCUCUCUCUUUUGGAGUCUUUCAAAGGGGGGAGGAUGGAUCAUCCUUUGCGAUGGCAAGCCAUUGCAAUCGAUGCAAAUUUAUGGACAUGACCGGGUCCUUCCAAGUUAGAGCACCUGGCGAAUUCAUUUCAUUUGAAGUCUCGUUGCAGAUCUCGAAAAAUGAUACUAGCCAAUUCUCUAAUGGACUCUUUUGGUUUUUAAAGUCCUGGUCGCGGAUUUGGGGGAAACAACGCUUUCCCUCCACUUCGCGACAAAUCUCCAAAACCUUUGAUCUCAAAUCAGAAAGGAUCACCCGCUGAACUUAAGCAUAUCAAUAAGCGGAGGA
RNAcentral lists this ribosomal RNA (729 nucleotides) under uncultured fungus. RNAcentral's name for it is "eukaryotic LSU rRNA". The stretch from base 241 to 394 matches the Rfam family "5.8S ribosomal RNA". Lineage: Eukaryota; Fungi. The record is from RNAcentral.